Diceros bicornis minor is the source of this 1208-nucleotide long non-coding RNA. RefSeq lists it as uncharacterized. The transcript has 2 exons. The record is from RefSeq and is a predicted model, not a curated record. NCBI's taxonomy places the organism in Eukaryota, Metazoa, Chordata, Mammalia, Perissodactyla, Rhinocerotidae.
AUGUGGAGACCAUUUGGAGGGAGUGAGAAGAGUGUUACCAGACGAGUGCAGUGGAAGGAGUUUGCGUCAGUGAAGAUGAGGAUAUUCACAACGGUGUAGUUAUAUAUCACCAUUAUCAGAUAUGAGCUGAUUAUAGCAGAAGACUCCCAUACAUGUGUCCUGACGUCAAACAAAAAGAUCAGAGAUGGGAGACAUAUAGAAGAAUCACCAGCAAGACUGAUUAAGUAACCAUGGAAAAGAUCAAGACUCCUGCCAUUUUGAAGAACUGGUUUUCAGUCUAGGGAGAAAAUAUAUUGCAGAGAGCAGGGAAUAUGAACCUACAUCCAUUCAUUGGUUGAAUUAGAUUAAGAAUACAGAGUUUACACAAUUGGAAAUUUCCUAAUUUCGCUCUAUGGCAAUGGCGAAAAUCUUGACACCUCUUUCUGAAGAGUAUUCUAACUCAUAAAUUAUUGGUCAAACAGCAGGUGUAAGUUGCCUGCCAGAGCAUCCUAAACAGUGCUUCUAUCUUGGCUUGAAUAUCUCUAAAGGGAAUAGAUCUUUCAAAUCUAUUCCAAUCAGUCUAUAACUCUUGAGCUGUUUUGGCUGGAAGAAAAAGAAUAUCUUGUAAAGUGAGUAAAUAAACAAAACACAUGUAGAAGAUGGGACACUCUCAAAUCUCUAGGUCAAAAACAUGUUUUAUUUGUCUCUCUAGUUAAUAGGUUAGUAAUUUAUAUAAAAAAUUACAGUGGAAGUAUUCACCUGAAGGAACAGCCAAUGGCCAGUUGGGGAGGAAGCAGAGAUGAAACUUGAGAUAUAAUUUAUUGAAACUGUGCUCCACUUGAUUUGAGUAUGGUUAGAUCAGGUAUUGUUUUUAACAGAGAAUAAUGUACAUAACAGAGAAAACUUUGGAAGUUUUAGCAUACAGCUGUAGAAGCAGCCCUGAAAUGAAUGAAUAUUUUAAUUUCAUUACAACAAACAUUUUUUGAGUUGGUUAUAUGCCAAAGACAGCAUUCAGAACCACAACUACCACAAAUAGGAUAAUUCAUGGAACGUGUUCAUAGAAAAAUUGUGGUAGUAUAUAUAUAAAACAAUAAUAAUAACAAUAUGCAAUUUCUCUAGAAAACUUACUCUAGGGCAUUCACAGUAAAAUGUUCUUCUAGGUAGCCGUUUCUUUCUCCACAGUGCCUAGUAUGCUCCUUGGAAAAUUCAAUAAAUAAUUGUUUAAUGAA